UCUUCCCUCUGGCGGCAUGCCUAACACAUGCAAGUCGAUCGGUAAGGCUCUUCGGAGUACACGAGAGGCGGACGGCUGAGUAACGCGUAGGAACACACCCUGCAGUGAGGGAUAAGACACCGAAAGGUGUUCUAAUACCGCAUACGGUCUUCGGAUUAAAGCAUUUAUGCGCUGAAGGAGUGGCCUGCGUCAUAUUAGAUAGUUGGUGAGGUAAUGGCUCACCAAGUCGAUGAUGUGUAGCUGGUCUGAGAGGAUGAUCAGCCAGACUGGAACUGAGACACGGUCCAGACUCCUACGGGAGGCAGCAGUGAGGAAUAUUUCACAAUGAGCGAAAGCUUGAUGGAGCAAUGCCGCGUGCAGGAUGAAGGCCCUCGGGUUGUAAACUGCUUUUAUAAGAGAAGAUUAUGACGGUAACUUAUGAAUAAGGGACGGCUAACUACGUG
RNAcentral lists this ribosomal RNA (443 nucleotides) under uncultured bacterium. RNAcentral describes it as "partial 16S ribosomal RNA". It matches the Rfam family "Bacterial small subunit ribosomal RNA", at positions 36 to 507 of the family's 1533-position model. The record is from RNAcentral.